GUUAAAAAGCUCGUAGUUGGAUUUCUGUGGGGGCGGAGCGGCCGGCCGCAACUUGCGGUUCGAGCUAGCGCUUCCCCUACAUCCUGCCGCGAACCGUGCUACCAUUAGUUUGGUGGCGCCGGGGAUCGGCUCGUUUACUUUGAGAAAAAUAGAGUGUUCAAAGCAGGCCACACGCCUUGAAUAAGUUAGCAUGGAAUAAUAAUAAAGGACUUCGGUUCUAUUUUGUUGGUGUUCGGGACUGAAGUAAUGAUUGAUAGGGACAGUUGGGGCGGUCAGUAUUCCAAAGCGAGAGGUGAAAUUCUUAGACCUUCGGAAGACUAACAGCUGCGAAAGCGUUCCGCAAGGAUGUUCCCUUUGAUCAAGAACGAAAGUUGGGGGAUCGAAGACGAUCAGAUACCGUCGUAGUCUCAACUAUAAACUAUACCAGCUAGGGAUCGGCCAACGUUAAAUUAUUCGACUUGGUCGGCACCUUAUGAGAAAUCAAAGCAUCUGGGUUCCGGGGGGAGUAUGGUCGCAAGGCUGAAACUUAAAGGAAUUGACGGAAGGGCACCACCAGCCGUGGAGCCUGUGGCUUAAUUUGACUCAACACGGGAAAACUUACCAGGUCCAGACAUAGUAAGGAUUGACAGAUUGA
RNAcentral lists this ribosomal RNA (634 nucleotides) under uncultured marine eukaryote. Its description in RNAcentral is "SSU rRNA". It matches the Rfam family "Eukaryotic small subunit ribosomal RNA", at positions 618 to 1251 of the family's 1831-position model. The record is from RNAcentral.